AUUGAACGCUGGCGGCAUGCUUUACACAUGCAAGUCGAACGGUAACAGGGUGCUUGCACCGCUGACGAGUGGCGAACGGGUGAGUAAUGCGUCGGAACGCACCGAGUAAUGGGGGAUAACGCAGCGAAAGCUGUGCUAAUACCGCAUACGCCCUGAGGAGGAAAGCGGGGGACGUGCGGGCCUCGCGUUAUUCGAGCGGCCGACGUCUGAUUAGCUAGUAGGUGAGGUAAGAGCUCACCUAGGCGACGAUCAGUAGCGGGUCUGAGAGGAUGAUCCGCCACACUGGGACUGAGACACGGCCCAGACUCCUACGGGAGGCAGCAGUGGGGAAUUUUGGACAAUGGGCGCAAGCCUGAUCCAGCCAUGCCGCGUGUCUGAAGAAGGCCUUCGGGUUGUAAAGGACUUUUGUCAGGGAGGAAAUCCUUAGCGCUAAUACCGUUGAGGGAUGACAGUACCUGAAGAAUAAGCACCGGCUAACUACGUGCCAGCCGCCGCCGUAA
RNAcentral lists this ribosomal RNA (500 nucleotides) under uncultured bacterium. RNAcentral describes it as "partial 16S ribosomal RNA". It matches the Rfam family "Bacterial small subunit ribosomal RNA", at positions 30 to 523 of the family's 1533-position model. The record is from RNAcentral.